This 446-nucleotide long non-coding RNA is filed under the name Homo sapiens (human). RNAcentral describes it as "non-protein coding ITGA9-AS1:35". Lineage: Eukaryota; Metazoa; Chordata; Mammalia; Primates; Hominidae. The record is from RNAcentral.
CUUUUACCAACAGAAUAAAUGAUGCUAUGCCAGCUGUGGGCUAGCAUUUAAGACAACUGGCAGCGCUCUCUUUCAGCCUAAGCCACCACAUAAAAAGUCAGACCAUCUGCUGGAAGAACCACAUGGAGAGGCCCUGAGUCAACAUGGAGAGGAAGAAGGACUUGACUGAAUCCAGCCUUCCAGCUGUCCCUACCAAGGUGCCAGGCAUGAGAAUGAAGCUGUCUUGAACUCUGAAGACCAGCUUAGCCACCAGGCAGGAGAGCUGGGCAUCUAUGAGUGGGGACCCCAGGGGGACCUGCAAUCACCAGACUCACCUUCCAGAGCAGCACGGCCAGCAGCAGGAAGAUGAGGAUUCCCACCAACAAACUGAUGGCGAUGAUCCACCCCACGACGUAGCCACGGGGCUCCAGAUUGUGCAGGGCCUCGAAGACCACCUAGGAGGCAAC